UACGUAGGUGGCAAGCGUUGUCCGGAAUUAUUGGGCGUAAAGGAGCGUCGCAGGCGGUUUGUUAAGUUCAGGGUGAAAGCUCCCGGCUCAACUGGGAGAGGUCCUUGGAUACUGGCAGACUUGAGGAGGGUAGAGGAGAGUGGAAUUCCCGGUGUAGUGGUGAUAUGCGUAGAUAUCGGGAGGAACACCAGUGGCGAAGGCGGCUCUCUGGGCCCUACCUGACGCUGAGACGCGAAAGCGUGGGGAGCGAACCGG
RNAcentral lists this ribosomal RNA (255 nucleotides) under uncultured bacterium. RNAcentral's name for it is "partial 16S ribosomal RNA". It matches the Rfam family "Bacterial small subunit ribosomal RNA", at positions 524 to 776 of the family's 1533-position model. The record is from RNAcentral.